RNAcentral lists this ribosomal RNA (491 nucleotides) under uncultured bacterium. Its description in RNAcentral is "bacterial SSU rRNA". It matches the Rfam family "Bacterial small subunit ribosomal RNA", at positions 960 to 1451 of the family's 1533-position model. The record is from RNAcentral.
CNCGNNAAACCUUACCUACCCUUGACAUGUACGGAACUUGCCAGAGAUGGCUUGGUGCUCGAAAGAGAGCCGUAACACAGGUGCUGCAUGGCUGUCGUCAGCUCGUGUCGUGAGAUGUUGGGUUAAGUCCCGCAACGAGCGCAACCCUUGUCAUUAGUUGCUACAUUUAGUUGGGCACUCUAAUGAGACUGCCGGUGACAAACCGGAGGAAGGUGGGGAUGACGUCAAGUCCUCAUGGCCCUUAUGGGUAGGGCUACACACGUCAUACAAUGGCUGGUACAAAGGGUUGCCAACCCGCGAGGGGGAGCUAAUCCCAUAAAGCCAGUCGUAGUCCGGAUCGUAGUCUGCAACUCGACUGCGUGAAGUCGGAAUCGCUAGUAAUCGUGGAUCAGAAUGUCACGGUGAAUACGUUCCCGGGUCUUGUACACACCGCCCGUCACACCAUGGGAGCGGGUCUCGCCAGAAGUAGUUAGCCUAACCGCAAGGGGGGC